AGCGAACGCUGGCGGCGGCCUAACACAUGCAAGUCGAACGAACCUUUCGGGGUUAGUGGCGGACGGGUGAGUAACACGUGGGAACGUGCCUUUAGGUUCGGAAUAACUCAGGGAAACUUGUGCUAAUACCGAAUGUGCCCUUCGGGGGAAAGAUUAAUCGCCUUUAGAGCGGCCCGCGUCUGAUUAGCUAGUUGGUUGAGGUAAUGGCUCACCAAGGCGACGAUCAGUAGCUGGUCUGAGAGGAUGAUCAGCCACAUUGGGACUGAGACACGGCCCAAACUCCUACGGGAGGCAGCAGUGGGGAAUCUUGCGCAAUGGGCGAAAGCCUGACGCAGCCAUGCCGCGUGAAUGAUGAAGGUCUUAGGAUUGUAAAAUUCUUUCACCGGGGACGAUAAUGACGGUACCCGGAGAAGAAGCCCCGGCUAACUUCGUG
Molecule: ribosomal RNA, 433 nt
Filed under: uncultured bacterium
Lineage: Bacteria
Description: partial 16S ribosomal RNA
Rfam family: Bacterial small subunit ribosomal RNA
Source: RNAcentral